AUUGAACGCUGGCGGCAGGCCUAACACAUGCAAGUCGAGCGGAGCGGCGGACGGGUGAGUAAUGCCUAGGAAUCUGCCUGGUAGUGGGGGAUAACGUCCGGAAACGGGCGCUAAUACCGCAUACUAUCAGAUGAGCCUAGGUCGGAUUAGCUAGUUGGUGGGGUAAAGGCCUACCACGGCGACGAUCCGUAACUGGUCUGAGAGGAGGAUCAGUCACACUGGAACUGAGACACGGUCCAGACUCCUACGGGAGGCAGCAGUGGGGAAUAUUGGAACAGGAGCGAAAGACUGAUCAAGCGACGCCGCGUGUGUGAAGAAGGUCUUCGGAUGGUAAAGCACUUUUAGUCGGGAGGCGCGUUUUACAGAAUCAGCAACGGCUAACUUCGUGCCAGCAGCCGCGGUAAUAC
This 407-nucleotide ribosomal RNA is filed under the name uncultured bacterium. RNAcentral describes it as "partial 16S ribosomal RNA". It matches the Rfam family "Bacterial small subunit ribosomal RNA", at positions 30 to 526 of the family's 1533-position model. The record is from RNAcentral.